GAGGGUAUAGCUUAGUGCUGGAGUAGUUGCCUAGUGUGCAUGAGGCCUGGGUUCAAUCCCCAGUACCACCA
RNAcentral lists this transfer RNA (71 nucleotides) under Marmota monax (woodchuck). It matches the Rfam family "tRNA". Rfam says of the family: Transfer RNA (tRNA) molecules are approximately 80 nucleotides in length. Their secondary structure includes four short double-helical elements and three loops (D, anti-codon, and T loops). Further hydrogen bonds mediate the characteristic L-shaped molecular structure. tRNAs have two regions of fundamental functional importance: the anti-codon, which is responsible for specific mRNA codon recognition, and the 3' end, to which the tRNAs corresponding amino acid is attached (by aminoacyl-tRNA synthetases). tRNAs cope with the degeneracy of the genetic code in two manners: having more than one tRNA (with a specific anti-codon) for a particular amino acid; and 'wobble' base-pairing, i.e. permitting non-standard base-pairing at the 3rd anti-codon position. The record is from Rfam by way of RNAcentral. Lineage: Eukaryota; Metazoa; Chordata; Mammalia; Rodentia; Sciuridae.